RNAcentral lists this ribosomal RNA (158 nucleotides) under Cladosporium cladosporioides. RNAcentral's name for it is "5.8S ribosomal RNA". It matches the Rfam family "5.8S ribosomal RNA". Rfam says of the family: 5.8S ribosomal RNA (5.8S rRNA) is a component of the large subunit of the eukaryotic ribosome. It is transcribed by RNA polymerase I as part of the 45S precursor that also contains 18S and 28S rRNA. Lineage: Eukaryota; Fungi; Ascomycota; Dothideomycetes; Cladosporiales; Cladosporiaceae. RNAcentral also lists the same sequence under 1 other name. The record is from RNAcentral.
UAAAACUUUUAACAACGGAUCUCUUGGUUCUGGCAUCGAUGAAGAACGCAGCGAAAUGCGAUAAGUAAUGUGAAUUGCAGAAUUCAGUGAAUCAUCGAAUCUUUGAACGCACAUUGCGCCCCCUGGUAUUCCGGGGGGCAUGCCUGUUCGAGCGUCAU